CCGGGGUCCGAGUAACAGGGUCAGGCGCGGAGAGGAGCGGCGGGAGAGCCAGGAGGGCCGCCCAGGCUAUGUCCUCCUGCGCUGUCGCCACGCUGUCCGGCAGCGCUUCCUGCCCGGGUCUCCCCGUCUGGAGGGUCACGCCGCCUUCUCCUCGAGACACUUCCGAGAGCCGGGCCUCAGCAUCCUGCUGGAGAGUUACUACGAGCAUGAGUCUGACUCUGUUACCUAGGCUGGAGUACAGUGGUGGCACCAUAGCUCACUGCAGCCUUCAACUCCCAGGCUCAAGCCAUCCUCCUGCCUCAGCCCCCGAUUGGAACCAUUAAACGAGGGUUUUCUUUCUAGAAUCUCUGGUCUGCUGCUGUGCA
Molecule: long non-coding RNA, 365 nt
Filed under: Homo sapiens (human)
Lineage: Eukaryota; Metazoa; Chordata; Mammalia; Primates; Hominidae
Description: novel transcript
Source: RNAcentral